This 530-nucleotide ribosomal RNA is filed under the name Saccharomyces cerevisiae (brewer's yeast). RNAcentral describes it as "partial large subunit ribosomal RNA". It matches the Rfam family "Eukaryotic large subunit ribosomal RNA", at positions 101 to 645 of the family's 3401-position model. Lineage: Eukaryota; Fungi; Ascomycota; Saccharomycetes; Saccharomycetales; Saccharomycetaceae. The record is from RNAcentral.
GGCAAAGCUCAAAUUUGAAAUCUGGUACCUUCGGUGCCCGAGUUGUAAUUUGGAGAGGGCAACUUUGGGGCCGUUCCUUGUCUAUGUUCCUUGGAACAGGACGUCAUAGAGGGUGAGAAUCCCGUGUGGCGAGGAGUGCGGUUCUUUGUAAAGUGCCUUCGAAGAGUCGAGUUGUUUGGGAAUGCAGCUCUAAGUGGGUGGUAAAUUCCAUCUAAAGCUAAAUAUUGGCGAGAGACCGAUAGCGAACAAGUACAGUGAUGGAAAGAUGAAAAGAACUUUGAAAAGAGAGUGAAAAAGUACGUGAAAUUGUUGAAAGGGAAGGGCAUUUGAUCAGACAUGGUGUUUUGUGCCCUCUGCUCCUUGUGGGUAGGGGAAUCUCGCAUUUCACUGGGCCAGCAUCAGUUUUGGUGGCAGGAUAAAUCCAUAGGAAUGUAGCUUGCCUCGGUAAGUAUUAUAGCCUGUGGGAAUACUGCCAGCUGGGACUGAGGACUGCGACGUAAGUCAAGGAUGCUGGCAUAAUGGUUAUAUGC